ACUUACCAGGUCAAGACAUGGGCGUGAUUGACAGGCUAAUGACUUUUCUCGAUUCCAUGGAUGGUGGUGCAUGGUCGCACUUAGUUGGUGCAGCGAUUUGUCAGGUUUAUUCCGGUAACGAACGAGACCUCGGCCUUGUAAAUAGCUAUGCUGCUUACAGGGACAUUGGCGGCUACGCCAAGGAAGCUCGAGGCAAUUGCAGAUCUGGAAUGCCCUUAGAUGUCCUGGGUCGCACGCGUGCUACAAUGACGCCACGAACGAGCUUGCGUGAUGAAAGUUACGCAUAAUCAGCAGUCGGCGUCUUAAGGGAUAGUCUCUUGUAACUGUGGGACUCCAACUAGGAAUGUCUCGUAAGCACAAGUCAACAUCUUGUGUUGAUUACGUCCCUGCUCUUUGUACACACCGCCCGUCGCUCCUACCGAUCGAGUGUUUAGGUGAAUUUGAUGGACGUAAGGAAGUCAAAUAAACCUGAGCACUGAGAAGAGAAGUCGAGAAGACGC
This 500-nucleotide ribosomal RNA is filed under the name uncultured Myrionecta. Its description in RNAcentral is "bacterial SSU rRNA". It matches the Rfam family "Eukaryotic small subunit ribosomal RNA", at positions 1213 to 1792 of the family's 1831-position model. The record is from RNAcentral. Lineage: Eukaryota; Ciliophora; Litostomatea; Cyclotrichida; Mesodiniidae.